CCAGACUCCUACGGGAGGCAGCAGUGAGGAAUAUUGGUCAAUGGGCGAGAGCCUGAACCAGCCAAGUCGCGUGAAGGACGACGGUUCUAUGGAUUGUAAACUUCUUUUGUAGAGGAAUAACGGUAGCUACGUGUAGCUGAGAUGCAUGUACUCUACGAAUAAGUAUCGGCUAACUCCGUGCCAGCAGCCGCGGUAAUACGGAGGAUACGAGCGUUAUCCGGAAUUAUUGGGUUUAAAGGGUGCGUAGGUGGCGUAUUAAGUCAGUGGUGAAAAGCUGCAGCUCAACUGUAGUCUUGCCGUUGAAACUGAUAUGCUAGAGAGGAGACGAGGUAUGCGGAAUGUGUGGUGUAGCGGUGAAAUGCAUAGAUAUCACACAGAACGCCGAUUGCGAAGGCAGCGUACCAGGCUCCGUCUGACACUGAAGCACGAAAGCGUGGGGAUCAAACAGGAUUAGAUACCCUGGUAGUCCACGCAGUAAACGAUGAAUACUAGAUUUUUGCGAUAUACUGUAAGAGUCUAAGCGAAAGCGAUAAGUAUUCCACCUGGGGAGUACGCCGGCAACGGUGAAACUCAAAGGAAUUGACGGGGGCCCGCACAAG
RNAcentral lists this ribosomal RNA (599 nucleotides) under uncultured bacterium. Its description in RNAcentral is "bacterial SSU rRNA". It matches the Rfam family "Bacterial small subunit ribosomal RNA", at positions 331 to 929 of the family's 1533-position model. The record is from RNAcentral.